This is a long non-coding RNA of Ooceraea biroi (clonal raider ant), 220 nucleotides long. RefSeq lists it as uncharacterized. NCBI's taxonomy places the organism in Eukaryota, Metazoa, Arthropoda, Insecta, Hymenoptera, Formicidae. The record is from RefSeq and is a predicted model, not a curated record.
CUGAAAAAUCGCAAAACGCACGAACCGCGUUCUGGUACUCGGACUGUCCUGUUAAUUGUGCUAGCAGUACCUGCGAAAAACAAGGAAAAGAAGAAAAGAUUAGACUUCUAUUGUUUAUUUCACCGCAUCAGAUUUGAGGAUAUUCUAACAAAUAAGUUACACUGGAGAACUAACAUUAUAUAUGUAUAUUAUUGAAAUAAGAAAUAAAUUUUCUCACCUG